CUUGGUGAUCAUAAUAACUUAACGAAUCGCAUGGCCUUGCGCCGGCGAUGGUUCAUUCAAAUUUCUGCCCUAUCAACUUUCGAUGGUAGGAUAGUGGCCUACCAUGGUGGCAACGGGUAACGGGAAAUUAGGGUUCGAUUCCGGAGAGGGAGCCUGAGAAACGGCUACCACAUCCAAGGAAGGCAGCAGGCGCGCAAAUUACCCAAUCCCGAUACCGGGAGGUAGUGACAAUAAAUACUGAUACGGGGCUCUUUUGGGUCUCGUAAUUGGAAUGAGAACAAUUUAAAUCCCUUAACGAGGAACAAUUGGAGGGCAAGUCUGGUGCCAGCAGCCGCGGUAAUUCCAGCUCCAAUAGCGUAUAUUAAAGUUGUUGCAGUUAAAAAGCUCGUAGUUGAACUUUGGGUCUGGCUGGCCGGUCCGCCUCACCGCGAGUACUGGUCCGGCUGGACCUUUCCUUCUGGGGAACCUCAUGGCCUUCACUGGCUUUUGGGAAC
Molecule: ribosomal RNA, 494 nt
Filed under: Penicillium sp. KBS3
Lineage: Eukaryota; Fungi; Ascomycota; Eurotiomycetes; Eurotiales; Aspergillaceae
Description: SSU rRNA
Rfam family: Eukaryotic small subunit ribosomal RNA
Source: RNAcentral